RNAcentral lists this long non-coding RNA (1855 nucleotides) under Sus scrofa (pig). Its description in RNAcentral is "lncRNA (ENSSSCG00025010870.1)". The record is from RNAcentral. Lineage: Eukaryota; Metazoa; Chordata; Mammalia; Artiodactyla; Suidae.
GGCGGCGAGGCGGCGCGUGCGCGGUGGCUGCAAAAGGGCAACUGCUGAGCGCUGGCGUUCUUGGUCCCCCCUCCGCUGGAACGACCGCGGGCCCUGGAUGGCCUGCAGAACCAGGAAGUCAAGAUUCGGAGUUCACGGUGAAUUGUCUUAUUCACCUGGGAAUGAGUCUGCGGGACUAAAACAAACCGCCUCGAGCUAGGCUCUAACCAGAGACCUCAAAACUAGGAACUGCAACAGAAAGCGAACCACUGGCCCGGACGCAUCCUCGCGCUGGAUUCCGCUCCCUGGUCACUUGGUGUGAUGUGUGUGCAGAGGGUCAAGUAGUUGUGAACAGAGGUUAGGGCAUUCAGAUUGUGCCAGCUGAGAAAGUGAGAAAUGCUGAAGAAAGCAGCCCUUCUGGAGUUCCCUGGCGGCCUAGCGGUUAAGGAUUUCGCAUUGUCAUUGCUGUGGCUCGGGUUGGAUGCCUGGCUGGGGAACUUUCCCAUGCUCAGCAGGGCCAAAAGAAAAGGAAAAUAGACUUUCUCCAGCGCCUCUUCCUUCUCCCCACUCCCAUCGCUGUAUCUCCCACCUUACCCUCUGCUGGUUCCUGCACCCUCAGCCGGUAAACAAGACCAAGUCUCUCGCAACAAGAAUCACCUGAGACCCGGCAAUUCCACUCCCAAGUAUUAUUCAAGGGAAUUGGAAACAUAUCUGCGCAAAGACUUGUACACAGAUGUCAUUGCGUAUCCAUAAUGGCCAAAGAGUGGAAACAACUGAAUGUCCAUCAUUUGACGAAUGGAUAGAGCAGUUACGGUUUAGCCAUACUCUGGCGUUUCAUUGGGCGGUGAAAAAGAAUGAAAUAGUGAUCCAUGCUCUAAUAUGGGCAAACCUGACAAGCGGACAUGAAACCCGGUCAAGGCAAUGAGAUUUGAGAAGACAUUUCCAGGGCUUCUGACAAAAAGAUUCCUCUCUGCUAUAUAGCUUCUAUCAAUGAUGUAAGGUCUAGAAUUAAUGCAGCCACAUGUGACAACAAGGAUAGAGACUAAAUUACCAGACAGUGAAGGAAUCCUGAGAAAGGCAGAAUGGGAAACUGGAAAAGGAACAGAACCUCAGUUACAUUGUUGAGCAGUGAGCAGCUAGAUCAAGACACACCUGAAGCUCUUCCUCCAUACUUGCCAGUUAUAUGAGCCUCUUGGAUAAAUAAUAAUUGAAUUGAAUAAAUUCCCUUCAUUGUUGGAGCUUAGUUUUCUGUCUAUAACUCAAAUUGUCCUAACAAUACCACUUAGCAAUCUCUGUGGGCCUCCAUUUUCUCAUAAAUGAAAUAAAGGUAAAAAUUCUGCCAGCUCUCAUAGCCUGUGUGUCUCAAAGGAUUAAUAUACUUAUAAAGAUGUAAGUGCAUUGUGAUUUACUAGUAAGCACUAAGGAAAACAAGACUUUAGUUUACCCCAGCCAAAGAUAGCUGAGACUAGCAAUGCACACAAAAAGCUUUCGUCUUCGGCCUAGACCCCCAGUUACCCUGAUCUCUCUCCUCUCCCUCUACGUCAGCCACUCGUUCCUACACCCUGAGAACAGUUAGUUGGGGAGGGGUGAUCUGGGAAGGAGGAACAUAGCGGGCCCCGCUUUAGAGGGCUGCACAUUCUCCUUGGUGAUGCCCCUGGCCUUGGACCCCUUGUUCAGAUUCUGGCCUCGUCUACCCAGUCUCUUUGACCUGAGCACCCCCUGUGCCUUCUCUCUCUCCCCAGCUCUGACCUCAAGAGUUGCAUGUUUCGCUUGCCAGCCUCUCCUCACGUCUGCAUUCCCAGCACUGGCCACCUUCAAUCAGCUGGAAGCAAUGAUGUAUUAGCCAGCAACUCCAGAGCACAGAUUCGUUUAUCUG